RNAcentral lists this ribosomal RNA (253 nucleotides) under uncultured bacterium. Its description in RNAcentral is "partial 16S ribosomal RNA". It matches the Rfam family "Bacterial small subunit ribosomal RNA", at positions 524 to 776 of the family's 1533-position model. The record is from RNAcentral.
UACAGAGGUCUCAAGCGUUGUUCGGAAUCACUGGGCGUAAAGCGCACGUAGGCGGGUCGUUAAGUCAGGGGUGAAAUCCUGGAGCUCAACUCCAGAACUGCCCUUGAUACUGGCGAUCUCGAGUUCGGGAGAGGUGAGUGGAACUGCGAGUGUAGAGGUGAAAUUCGUAGAUAUUCGCAAGAACACCAGUGGCGAAGGCGGCUCACUGGCCCGAUACUGACGCUGAGGUGCGAAAGCGUGGGGAGCAAACAGG